GAAGUGACAUACUUUAAGAAUACCAGAUUAAUCUGUUCUGAUUUUUUUAAUUCGCAGCUGGGAUAAAAAAAAGAGCCUUUUGAAGAGUCUUCAAAUCAACAGUAAUUUCAGAUUUUCACAACACGAAGAGGCAGAGCGCAAAGUGAAUUUGACACUUUGAAAAAUGCUACACAAGAACACUGAAGGCGUGAUAAGGACCUUUGUGAUCAUCGAUGCUAUUUCCAAUGGUGAAAGGGAGGCUCCGAAAAGUCAAGCGGCUCGUCCCAGGCCAUGUGGCGGGCUAAGGGCAGAGCCAGGGCUGCCGACCAUGUCUCCUGUCUCAGAGUCCCAGGAUCUUUCUCCUGGGAAGAUGUACGAUGUAUUUCCUCAGCACAAUGCUAGGUUGCCAAGACGGGCCUGUACCUAGCAGAGGUAUUUGUAUAAUCAAAGCUUCUGGAACUUUCCCUGCCAAGGCU
Molecule: long non-coding RNA, 455 nt
Filed under: Rhinopithecus bieti (black snub-nosed monkey)
Lineage: Eukaryota; Metazoa; Chordata; Mammalia; Primates; Cercopithecidae
Description: lncRNA (ENSRBIG00000045156.1)
Source: RNAcentral